RNAcentral lists this long non-coding RNA (376 nucleotides) under Cricetulus griseus (Chinese hamster). Its description in RNAcentral is "lncRNA (ENSCGRG00015034380.1)". The record is from RNAcentral. Lineage: Eukaryota; Metazoa; Chordata; Mammalia; Rodentia; Cricetidae.
CUCACAGUCCUAGAGUCUGGGAGUCCAUGUCCAAGGUGCAGGAGUGUGUCUCCUAGGUGAUUCCAAGCCCAUCGCGUUGACGGUGAAGACUAACCAUCUCAGUUCACAGCUAGAAGAUGAGACACCAGCCUCACCAUUCCCUUCAAAGACGCAUCGCCUGUGGCACCCCUCCCCCAUUCAAAGACGCAUCGCCUGUGACACCACCUCUCCCCCAUUCAAAGACGCAUCACUUGUGACACCCCUCCCCCAAACAUCCACCAUUUAUCUAAUGCCAUGCUGGGAAGCAAGCCUUUAUUACACAGGCCUUUAGGGGACCGGAUGGAGUAGCUAUGUAAUAAAAGUUUGUCCGUGCCCUGAGCAUGUGUAUAGCAUUGAG